Molecule: ribosomal RNA, 208 nt
Filed under: Ophichthys cuchia (cuchia)
Lineage: Eukaryota; Metazoa; Chordata; Actinopteri; Synbranchiformes; Synbranchidae
Description: partial 16S ribosomal RNA
Source: RNAcentral
ACUUAACAGCUAGCUUCACUCAAAAAACAACAAAACACAAUAAAUAAACCCUAAUACACUAAUACUUAUAAAAUAAAACAUUCACCCAAUCAAGUAUAGGCGAUAGAAAAAUAAAUCUAAAGCAAUAGAAAAAGUACCGCAAGGGAACGCUGAAAAAGAAAUGAAAGAACUCAGUAAAGUUAAACAAAGCAAAGAUUAAUUCUUGUAC